CCUACGGGAGGCAGCAGUGAGGAAUAUUGGUCAAUGGGCGCGAGCCUGAACCAGCCAAGUCGCGUGAAGGAUGACUGCCCUACGGGUUGUAAACUUCUUUUAUAAAGGAAUAAAGUGAGGCACGUGUGCAUUUUUCUAUGUACUUUAUUAAUAAGGAUCGGCUAACUCCGUGCCAGUAGCCGCGGUAAUACGGAGGAUCCGAGCGUUAUCCGGAUUUAUUGGGUUUAAAGGGAGCGUAGAUGGGUUGUUAAGUCAGGUGUGAAAGCUCGCGGCUCAACCGGGAAAUUGCAAUUGAUACUGGCAGUCUUGAGUACAGUUGAGGUAGGCGGAAUUCGUGGUGUAGCGGUGAAAUGCUUAGAUAUCACGAAGAACUCCGAUUGCGAAGGCAGCUUACUAAACUGCCACUGACAUUGAUGCUCGAAAGUGUGGGUAUCAAACAGGAUUAGAUACCCUGGUAGUC
This 460-nucleotide ribosomal RNA is filed under the name uncultured bacterium. RNAcentral's name for it is "partial 16S ribosomal RNA". It matches the Rfam family "Bacterial small subunit ribosomal RNA", at positions 338 to 795 of the family's 1533-position model. The record is from RNAcentral.